GUGGCGGACGGGUGAGUAACACGUGGGAACGUGCCUUUAGGUUCGGAAUAACUCAGGGAAAUUUGGAUUAAUACCCCGUAAUAUAACGAUGUGGCAUCACAUUGUUAUUAUAGCUUCGGCGCUUGUUGAUGGGUGUGCGGCUGAUUAGAUAGUUGGCGGGGUAACGGCCCACCAAGUCUACGACCAGUAGCUGAUGUGAGAGCAUGAUCAGCCACAUUGGGACUGAGACACGGCCCAAACUCCUACGGGAGGCAGCAGUGGGGAAUCUUGCGCAAUGGGCGAAAGCCUGACGCAGCCAUGCCGCGUGAAUGAUGAAGGUCUUAGGAUUGUAAAAUUCUUUCACCGGGGACGAUAAUGACGGUACCCGGAGAAGAAGCCCCGGCUAACUUCGUGCCAGCAGCCGCGGUAAUACGAAGGGGGCUAGCGUUGCUCGGAAUUACUGGGCGUAAAGGGAGCGUAGGCGGACAUUUAAGUCAGGGGUGAAAUCCCGGGGC
Molecule: ribosomal RNA, 494 nt
Filed under: uncultured Caulobacteraceae bacterium
Lineage: Bacteria; Pseudomonadati; Pseudomonadota; Alphaproteobacteria; Caulobacterales; Caulobacteraceae
Description: bacterial SSU rRNA
Rfam family: Bacterial small subunit ribosomal RNA
Source: RNAcentral